This is a long non-coding RNA of Papaver somniferum (opium poppy), 1450 nucleotides long. RefSeq lists it as uncharacterized. Lineage: Eukaryota; Viridiplantae; Streptophyta; Magnoliopsida; Ranunculales; Papaveraceae. The transcript has 12 exons. The record is from RefSeq and is a predicted model, not a curated record.
ACCUGAAAUGGUUUCUUCUUUACUCUUUCUUAGGCAAAAGAAGAAUUAAUGAACAAGAAGAAGAAGUCUUUUCAUGAACCCCUAACGCUGUCUAUCUUCUUUGUUGCAAUAGAUGUUCAGUUUUUUUUAUUUUUUUUACUCGAUCUGAAACUAGGGUUUUUCAAUUUGGGGAUUUUCUGACUCUGUUAGUGAAGAUGAUAUAUAUAAUUUAUUUUAAACGUGUUUCUGUUUAUAAAUAUGGUUGGUUGUUUUGAACAAAGGAAGGGUUUGUUAUUAUUGGGUUGGUUUAUUUGUGUUCGAAUUUUUUCUGGUUUUGACAUGGGUUUUCAGUAUUGAAAUCAUUAAGGUAUUUAGACUGCUCAGUUUAGUGGGAUGAAGAAGUUUGUUGUUUAUUGUUCAUCUGAUUUGUUGUUGUUGUUAUAUUGCAGAUGAAUAGAAGUGAAAACCCUAACAAUGAAGUUUGGCAGGGUAGAAAUGGUGCUCGACAAGAUGAAGCGACGUGUUGAGUAUGCAUGGAAGCAUAUUAGUUAGUAAACUGUUGCCUAUCUACAAUGCCGCCAAGGAAAAAAGAAAGACUAAGAAGAGCUGCAGAAGAAUGGAGAAGACUUUUGUGUUUGGAUGGGAAACCUGCAAUAAAGAUGUGGAAGUCCCAAUUAUAGUGGAAAAUCUUGGAGAAAGUUGAUGAAGAGCUAAUGAAAAGAGAUGUAAGGGCAACAUUAAGUCUCGUGAAGGAGUUAGUGGGAAAACCGGUGGUCUUUGUUGCUUUGACACAACAAGGAAGAUACUCCCAAAGCUAUACACUUUGGAUGAAUUGAAGCUGAAUGACAUUGAUCCUUCAGCAAUUCUUUCACCUGUGGAUGUGACUUUGAGUUCAUUUUGAAAGGUUGAUUCUCGAAAGCAUACAUCUAAGGUCAGAUUCCAAUAAGCUUUUUGAGUAGGUUACCCUGUACCAGUCCAGUUUUCUUUGGUUGCUGCUGAAGCUGGGGAAAUAGUUAUGAUCAUGCGAUAUUUUCAGGUCAGCGGAACCUUAAAUUUUCAGAUGAUUGAUGAAACACAUACCGAUGGAAUACCUAACCAAUGCUGACUGGUGAUUCCUUGUAUUACUAUCAAGUGCAGGACAUUACUUUUUUCCAUCUUCCUGGAUAUUUUAACUGCAUUUGCCUAUGGAACUCUAUUCAAGUGUAUUCCUGUGAAACAUAUGGUUGUAGGAAAAUAUGGAGUGGCUUUAGAAGUUUUAGAACUUAAAUUGGAUAAAAAGGAAGAUUUGGUAGCCGAGGCUGCUCGAGGGCUUGCUUGGGAUGGAUGGAAAUGUAGAAAAGAUGGAAAAGUAAACCCUUUAGCAGUUGAGAAAUAUAUAAUUUUUGAAGGGGUUAAUUCCACGAUGUGGAUAACAGCAGCAAUACAAACAACCUGCCACAAGCAAUUUAGUCACAGAUGUUGAAAGUCCUAA